GAUGAACGCUGGCGGCGUGCCUAAUACAUGCAAGUCGAGCGAACAGACGAGGCGCUUGCCCCUCUGCAGUUAGCGGCGGACGGGUGAGUAACACGUGGAUAACCUACCUAUAAGACUGGGAUAACUUCGGGAAACCGGAGCUAAUACCGGAUAAUAUAUUGAACGGCAUGGUUCAAUAGUGAAAGACCUAUUUGAUGACACUUAUACAUGGUAGCGGGCCGCAUUAGCUAGUUGGUAAGGUAACGGCUUACCAGGGCAACGCUGCGUAGCGGACCUGUGAGGUUGAUCGGCAACACUGAAACGGAGACACGGUCCAGACUCCUACGGGAGGCAGCGGGAGGGAAUCUGCCGCAAUGGGCGAAAGCCUGACGGAGCAACGCGGGGGGAGGGAGGAGGUCUUCCGAAUCGUAAAACUCUGUUAUUAGGAGAGAAGAAAUUUGGAAAUAACUAUGCUCGUCUGGACGGUACCUAAGCAGAAAGCCACGGCUAACUACGU
This 496-nucleotide ribosomal RNA is filed under the name uncultured bacterium. RNAcentral describes it as "partial 16S ribosomal RNA". It matches the Rfam family "Bacterial small subunit ribosomal RNA", at positions 28 to 506 of the family's 1533-position model. The record is from RNAcentral.